This 266-nucleotide ribosomal RNA is filed under the name uncultured bacterium. RNAcentral describes it as "partial 16S ribosomal RNA". It matches the Rfam family "Bacterial small subunit ribosomal RNA", at positions 333 to 596 of the family's 1533-position model. The record is from RNAcentral.
GCCCCCCUACGGGAGGCAGCAGUGAGGAAUAUUGGUCAAUGGGCGGGAGCCUGAACCAGCCAAGCCGCGUGAGGGAAGAAGGUACAGCGUAUCGUAAACCUCUUUUGUCAGGGAACAAAGGCGGGGAAUAGUCCCCGGAUGAGGGUACCUGAAGAAAAAGCAUCGGCUAAAUCCGUGCCAGCAGCCGCGGUAAUACGGAGGAUGCGAGCGUUAUCAGGAUGUAUUGGGUUUAAAGGGUGCGCAGGCGGCCGGUUAAGUGAGCGGUA